UACGGGGGGGGCAAGCGUUGCUCGGAAUCACUGGGCGUAAAGGGUGCGUAGGCGGGUCUUUAAGUCAGGGGUGAAAUCCUGGAGCUCAACUCCAGAACUGCCUUUGAUACUGAGGAUCUUGAGUUCGGGAGAGGUGAGUGGAACUGCGAGUGUAGAGGUGAAAUUCGUAGAUAUUCGCAAGAACACCAGUGGCGAAGGCGGCUCACUGGCCCGAUACUGACGCUGAGGCACGAAAGCGUGGGGAGCAAACAGG
This 253-nucleotide ribosomal RNA is filed under the name uncultured bacterium. Its description in RNAcentral is "partial 16S ribosomal RNA". It matches the Rfam family "Bacterial small subunit ribosomal RNA", at positions 524 to 776 of the family's 1533-position model. The record is from RNAcentral.